This 499-nucleotide ribosomal RNA is filed under the name uncultured bacterium. Its description in RNAcentral is "partial 16S ribosomal RNA". It matches the Rfam family "Bacterial small subunit ribosomal RNA", at positions 28 to 507 of the family's 1533-position model. The record is from RNAcentral.
GACGAACGCUGGCGGCGUGCCUAAUACAUGCAAGUCGAGCGAAGUUUUUCUGGUGCUUGCACUAGAAAAACUUAGCGGCGAACGGGUGAGUAACACGUAAAGAACCUGCCUCAUAGACUGGGACAACUAUUGGAAACGAUAGCUAAUACCGGAUAACAGUAUUUCUCGCAUGAGAGAUAUUUAAAAGUUGGUUAUGCUAACACUAUGAGAUGGCUUUGCGGUGCAUUAGCUAGUUGGUGGGGUAAAGGCCCACCAAGGCGACGAUGCAUAGCCGACCUGAGAGGGUGAUCGGCCACACUGGGACUGAGACACGGCCCAGACUCCUACGGGAGGCAGCAGUAGGGAAUCUUCCGCAAUGGGCGAAAGCCUGACGGAGCAACGCCGCGUGAGUGAAGAAGUAUUUCGGUUCGUAAAGCUCUGUUGUUAGGGAAGAAUGGAUAUGUAGUAACUAUACAUGUAAGAGACGGUACCUAACCAGAAAGCCACGGCUAACUACGUG